GGAUAAUUUAAAAUAUUCCACAAGAGAUAUAAUUAUCGAUAUCAUACUCCAACAGUAUUUUUGUAAUGCCAAAACAGUUCUCAUGGCGCUUCUUUGAUGUGCAGAUAACAUGUCAUUCUCGCAAUCUGAUAUUUCGAAUUCGACGUGUCAUGUUCUACGUUAAUCUUCAGUGAUAAAUAACACCUUAACAGAUAUGUACUAUGAC
This 205-nucleotide long non-coding RNA is filed under the name Mytilus galloprovincialis (Mediterranean mussel). Lineage: Eukaryota; Metazoa; Mollusca; Bivalvia; Mytilida; Mytilidae. The record is from RNAcentral.